AAAAACAUUUUUAAAAAAAGCAUACAAAAUAACACUCUUAAAAUGGUUUGCAUUUCACUUUUUUAUUUAGACUGCCCAAGUUGCAGGAAGUUUUCUCUCGAUGUAAAAUUAACUGAGCAGAUAUUUAUUAAAAAAUAAUAAAGUUGCUGAACUCUAUUUUAUUGCUAAGAAACCAGGUGCACAGAACAACAUAACCCUUGAGGACUGAAAACAAAGCUGGCUUCUUUACAAGACAUACAUUUAAGAACCAUAACAGCAGACUAUCCAAAAGAAUCAUUAAAAUAGUAGCAAUUUCAUAAAAGGG
Long non-coding RNA from Nanorana parkeri, 304 nucleotides. RefSeq lists it as uncharacterized. The record is from RefSeq and is a predicted model, not a curated record. The transcript has 3 exons. Lineage: Eukaryota; Metazoa; Chordata; Amphibia; Anura; Dicroglossidae.